RNAcentral lists this ribosomal RNA (465 nucleotides) under uncultured bacterium. Its description in RNAcentral is "partial 16S ribosomal RNA". It matches the Rfam family "Bacterial small subunit ribosomal RNA", at positions 28 to 507 of the family's 1533-position model. The record is from RNAcentral.
GACGAACGCUGGCGGCGUGCUUAACACAUGCAAGUCGAACGGAAAGGCCCCUUUGGGGGUACUCGAGUGGCGAACGGGUGAGUAACACGUGAGUAACCUGCCCUUGACUUCGGGAUAACUUCAGGAAACUGGGGCUAAUACCGGAUAGGAAUCCUUGCUGCAUGGUGGGGGUUGGAAAGCUUCGGCGGUUUUGGAUGGACUCGCGGCUUAUCAGCUUGUUGGUGGGGUAGUGGCUUACCAAGGCUUUGACGGGUAGCCGGCCUGAGAGGGCGACCGGCCACAUUGGGACUGAGAUACGGCCCAGACUCCUACGGGAGGCAGCAGUGGGGAAUAUUGCACAAUGGGCGGAAGCCUGAUGCAGCAACGCCGCGUGCGGGAGGACGGCCUUCGGGUUGGAAACCGCUUUCAGCAGGGGCGAAGCUUGUGGUGACGGUACCUGCAGAAGAAGCACCGGCUAACUACGUG